RNAcentral lists this ribosomal RNA (550 nucleotides) under uncultured bacterium. Its description in RNAcentral is "bacterial SSU rRNA". It matches the Rfam family "Bacterial small subunit ribosomal RNA", at positions 355 to 896 of the family's 1533-position model. The record is from RNAcentral.
UAGGGAAUCUUCGGCAAUGGACGGAAGUCUGACCGAGCAACGCCGCGUGAGUGAAGAAGGUUUUCGGAUCGUAAAGCUCUGUUGUAAGAGAAGAACGAGUGUGAGAGUGGAAAGUUCACCACUGUGACGGUAUCUUACCAGAAAGGGACGGCUAACUACGUGCCAGCAGCCGCGGUAAUACGUAGGUCCCGAGCGUUGUCCGGAUUUAUUGGGCGUAAAGCGAGCGCAGGCGGUUAGAUAAGUCUGAAGUUAAAGGCUGUGGCUUAACCAUAGUACGCUUUGGAAACUGUUUAACUUGAGUGCAAGAGGGGAGAGUGGAAUUCCAUGUGUAGCGGUGAAAUGCGUAGAUAUAUGGAGGAACACCGGUGGCGAAAGCGGCUCUCUGGCUUGUAACUGACGCUGAGGCUCGAAAGCGUGGGGAGCAAACAGGAUUAGAUACCCUGGUAGUCCACGCCGUANCGAUGAGUGCUAGGUGUUAGACCCUUUCCGGGGUUUAGUGCCGCAGCUAACGCAUUAAGCACUCCGCCUGGGGAGUACGACCGCAAGGUUG